GCCAGUGUGGCUCAGUGGAUAGAGCGUCAGCCUGCAGGACUGAAGGGUCCCGGGUUCAAUUCUGGUCAAGGGCA
Molecule: transfer RNA, 74 nt
Filed under: Myotis lucifugus (little brown bat)
Lineage: Eukaryota; Metazoa; Chordata; Mammalia; Chiroptera; Vespertilionidae
Rfam family: tRNA
About the family: Transfer RNA (tRNA) molecules are approximately 80 nucleotides in length.
Source: Rfam by way of RNAcentral